This 2918-nucleotide ribosomal RNA is filed under the name Permianibacter aggregans. Its description in RNAcentral is "23S ribosomal RNA". It matches the Rfam family "Bacterial large subunit ribosomal RNA". Lineage: Bacteria; Pseudomonadati; Pseudomonadota; Gammaproteobacteria; Pseudomonadales; Pseudomonadaceae. The record is from RNAcentral.
GUUAUAUGGUCAAGUGAAUAAGUGCAUAUGGUGGAUGCCUUGGCGAUCAGAGGCGAUGAAGGACGUAGUAACCUGCGAAAAGCCUGGGGGAGUCGGUAAACAGACGUUAUAUCCCAGGAUGUCCGAAUGGGGAAACCCGGCCGUUUAGACGGUCAUCGUACAGUGAAUACAUAGCUGUACGAGGCGAACGUGGCGAAGUGAAACAUCUCAGUAGCCAUAGGAACAGAAAUCAACCGAGAUUCUCCUAGUAGCGGCGAGCGAACGGGGACCAGCCAACAGUCUUUAGCAUUUUAUAUAGCGGAACUCUCUGGAAAGUGAGGCCAUAGUGGGUGAUAGCCCCGUACGCGAAAUAUAGAGUGUGGAACUAAGUCUGUAACAAGUAGGGCGGGGCACGAGAAACCCUGUCUGAACAUGGGGGGACCAUCCUCCAAGGCUAAAUACUCCUGAUCGACCGAUAGUGAACCAGUACCGUGAGGGAAAGGCGAAAAGAACCCCUGUUAGGGGAGUGAAAUAGAACCUGAAACCGUAUGCAUACAAGCAGUGGGAGCCCGCAAGGGUGACUGCGUACCUUUUGUAUAAUGGGUCAGCGAGUUACGGUCUGUUGCGAGCUUAACCGAAUAGGGGAGGCGUAGCGAAAGCGAGUCUGAAUAGGGCGAUUAGUAGCAGGCUGUAGACCCGAAACCACGUGAUCUAGUCAUGGCCAGGAUGAAGCGAAGGUAACACUUCGUGGAGGUCCGAACCCACGCCCGUUGAAAAGGUCGGGGAUGAGCUGUGACUAGGGGUGAAAGGCUAAUCAAACGUGGUGAUAGCUGGUUCUCCUCGAAAGCUAUUUAGGUAGUGCCUCAUGUAUUGCUCCCGGGGGUAGAGCACUGUUUCGGCUAGGGGGUCAUCCCGACCUACCAACCCGAUGCAAACUCCGAAUACCGGGAAGUAUGAGCAUGGGAGACACACGGCGGGUGCUAACGUCCGUCGUGAAGAGGGAGACAACCCAGACCGCCAGCUAAGGUCCCCAAAUUAUCACUAAGUGGGAAACGAUGUGGGAAGGCUAAAACAGCCAGGAUGUUGGCUUAGAAGCAGCCAUCAUUUAAAGAAAGCGUAAUAGCUCACUGGUCGAGUCGGCCUGCGCGGAAGAUGUAACGGGGCUAAGUGAUAUACCGAAGCUGCGGAUGCACCGCAAGGUGCAUGGUAGAGGAGCGUCGUGUACGCCUGUGAAGGUGAAUCGUAAGGUUUGCUGGAGGUAUCACGAGUGCGAAUGCUGACAUGAGUAACGAUAAUGGGGGUGAAAAACCCCCACGCCGAAAGACCAAGGGUUCCAGUUCGACGUUAAUCGGAGCUGGGUAAGUCGACCCCUAAGGCGAGGCUGAAAAGCGUAGUCGAUGGGAAACAGGUUAAUAUUCCUGUACUUGGUGUUGCUGCGAUGGAGAGACGGAGAAGGCUAUAGCAUCCGGAGAACGGUAGUUCCGGUUUAAGGUCGUAGGCAGUUCCCUUAGGCAAAUCCGGGGGAACAAUGCUGAGAGCUGAUGACGAGCGUCCACGGACGUGAAGUGCUAGAUGCCCUGCUUCCAGGAAAAUCUUCUAAGCUUCAGGCAACACGAAAUCGUACCCGAAACCGACACAGGUGGUCAGGUUGAGUAUACCAAGGCGCUUGAGAGAACUCGGGUGAAGGAACUAGGCAAAUUGGCACCGUAACUUCGGGAGAAGGUGCGCCGGCCCGUGUGUAAGCCCUUGCGGCUGAAGCAUGAGCUGGUCUCAGUAAAUAGGCUGCUGCAACUGUUUAUCAAAAACACAGCACUCUGCAAACACGAAAGUGGACGUAUAGGGUGUGACGCCUGCCCGGUGCCGGAAGGUUAAUUGAUGGGGUUAGCGCAAGCGAAGCUCUUGAUCGAAGCCCCGGUAAACGGCGGCCGUAACUAUAACGGUCCUAAGGUAGCGAAAUUCCUUGUCGGGUAAGUUCCGACCUGCACGAAUGGCGUAAUGAUGGCGGCACUGUCUCCACCCGAGACUCAGUGAAAUUGAAAUCGCUGUGAAGAUGCAGUGUACCCGCGGAAAGACGGAAAGACCCCGUGAACCUUUACUGUAGCUUCACAUUGGACUUAGAACCUGCUUGUGUAGGAUAGCUGGGAGACUUUGAAGCCGAGACGCCAGUUUCGGUGGAGUCAACCUUGAAAUACCAGCCUGGUAUGUUUUGAGUUCUAACCUAGGCCCAUGAUCUGGGUCGGGGACAAUGUGUGGUGGGCAGUUUGACUGGGGCGGUCUCCUCCUAAAGCGUAACGGAGGAGCACGAUGGUGCGCUAACGACGGUCGGAAAUCGUCGGGAUUGUGUAUAGGCAAAAGCGCGCUUGACUGCGAGACGUACAUGUCGAGCAGGGUCGAAAGACGGUCUAAGUGAUCCGGUGGUUCUGUAUGGAAGGGCCAUCGCUCAACGGAUAAAAGGUACUCCGGGGAUAACAGGCUGAUACCGCCCAAGAGUUCAUAUCGACGGCGGUGUUUGGCACCUCGAUGUCGGCUCAUCACAUCCUGGGGCUGUAGCCGGUCCCAAGGGUAUGGCUGUUCGCCAUUUAAAGUGGUACGCGAGCUGGGUUCAGAACGUCGUGAGACAGUUCGGUCCCUAUCUUCCGUGGGCGUUUGAGAAUUGAGGGAAGCUGCUCCUAGUACGAGAGGACCGGAGUGGACACACCUCUGGUGUUCCGAUUGUCACGCCAGUGGCAUUGUCGGGUAGCUAUGUGUGGACGGGAUAACCGCUGAAAGCAUCUAAGCGGGAAGCCUCUCCCAAGAUUAGUUCUCACUGGGGAUUCAAUCCCCCUGAAGGGUCGUCGCAGACUACGACGUUGAUAGGUCAGGUGUGUAAGCGUAGUGAUACGUUGAGCUAACUGAUACUAAUUGCCCGUGAGGCUUGACCAUAUAACGCCCAAAGCGUU